Long non-coding RNA from Haliotis rufescens (red abalone), 384 nucleotides. RefSeq lists it as uncharacterized. Lineage: Eukaryota; Metazoa; Mollusca; Gastropoda; Lepetellida; Haliotidae. The record is from RefSeq and is a predicted model, not a curated record. The transcript is spliced from 2 exons.
AGAUUUUGACGGUUUCGACGAGGUGUCCAUCCCCCCCCCCCCACCCCCGCCAACUUUCAGAGGGACCACAACGGUGGAGACAUGAGGGAUUUUGAAGAGGCGACCGGACUCAAGAAUACUUAUUGACAUGGUGAGUGAAGAGUCGUGCUAUUGAUUUUUUCCAACUGUUUUACAAUGAUUCUGUGUUUGAACAGAUAAUCAGGGCGACAAUGAGAAUGCAGCCUACAAGUGAACGAGCGAUCACAACAACAACAAAGAUGUGCAUGAAGAGAAUUUACCUGUAACACCUGGGAUUACCUGUGCCGUCCAAGAUGACAAGACCACCGUAUUAUGUUUACCUUGUAUCUGUGACUUAUUUUUGUGAUUUUUAAUACAAUUUGAGCC